Molecule: RNA transcript, 4698 nt
Organism: Ahaetulla prasina
Lineage: Eukaryota; Metazoa; Chordata; Lepidosauria; Squamata; Colubridae
Gene: LMNB2
Gene name: lamin B2
Exons: 12
Source: RefSeq, a predicted model, not a curated record
UGGGAUUGAAUGACCCGCGCUCGCCCGGCGGCCUCCGCUGGCGCCAUGGCCUCCUCCGCCGCCGCCGCCGCCCCCCCCGCGACGCCCCUCUCGCCCGCGCGGCUCUCGCGGCUGCAGGAGAAGGAGGAGCUGCGGCAGCUCAACGACCGCCUGGCCCACUACAUCGAGCGGGUGCGCGCGCUGGAGCUGGAGAACGACCGGCUGCUGCUGCGCGUCUCCGAGAAGGAGGAGGUGGUCACGCGCGAGGUGACGGGCAUCAAAGCGCUGUACGAGGCGGAGCUGGCCGACACCCGGCGGGCCCUGGACGAGACGGCCCGGGAGCGGGCCAGGCUCCAGAUCGAGGCCGGGAAGCUGCGCGCCGAGUUCGAGGAGCUGCGACGGAGCUACAAAAAGAAGGACGGGGAGUGGUCCACCUCCCAGGGUCGCAUCAAGGAGCUGGAGGUGCUCUUCCAUCGGAGCGAGGCAGAGCUCACAGCCACUCUAAGUGAGAAACAGAGCCUGGAGGCUGAGGUGGCUGAUGCCCGGGCCCAGCUGGCAAAGUCGGAGGACGCCCAUGCUGUGGCCAAGAAGCAGCUGGAGAAGGAGACCCUCUUGCGGGUGGACCUGGAGAACCGCUGCCAAAGCCUGCAAGAGGAGCUCGACUUCAGGAAGAGCAUCUUCGAGGAGGAAGUGAGAGAGACUCAGAAAUGGCACGAGCGCCAUCUGGUGGAGGUGGACAGCAGCUGCCAGAAGGAGUACGAGUCGAAGAUUGCCCAAGCCCUGGAAGACCUGCGCAGGCAGCACGACCACCAGGUGCAGCUCUACAAGCUGGAAUUGGAGCAGACCUAUCAGGCCAAGCUGGAGAACGCCAAGAUCUGCUCAGAUCAGAACGAACGGGCAGCCAGCGCCGCUCGGGAGGAGCUGAAUGAAGCCCGCAUGCGGAUCGAAGCUCUCAGCUACCAGCUCUCUGGGCUGCAGAAGCAGGUGAGCACAGCGGAAGAGCGGAUGCGGGACCUGGAGGAGCUGAUGGCCGGAGAGCAGGAGAAGCUACGGAAAAUGCUAGACGCCAAAGAGCGGGAGAUGACGGACAUGCGGGAGCAGAUGCAGCAGCAGCUAAUGGAGUACCAGGAACUGCUGGACGUCAAGCUGGCCCUGGACAUGGAGAUCAGCGCGUACCGGAAGCUGCUGGAAGGGGAAGAGGAAAGGCUCAAGCUGUCCCCUAGCCCUCCAUCCCGCAUCACCGUCUCCCGGGCCACCUCCUCCAGCACCUCGGGCACUCGCUCUUCACGGGGCAAGAGGAAGCGGGCGGAGGCCGAGGAGCUGCCAGGACAGAUGCCUAGUGGGAGCACUCGUGGGGGGGGCAGCACUGGCAGCAGCCUCCAGGUCACCCAGCAGGCCUCGGCCAAGGGCAGCAUCAGCAUCGAGGGAGUGGACCCCGAGGGGAAGUUCGUUCAGCUGAAGAACCAUUCUGACAAGGACCAGUCACUCGGGAGCUGGAGGCUGAAGAGAACAAUUGGGGAGGGAGAGGAGAUUGCGUACAAAUUUACUCCCAAGUAUGUCCUCCGGGCCGGGCAGACGGUGACGAUCUGGGCUGCUGAGGCUGGGGUGGCACACAGCCCUCCCUCGGUGCUGGUCUGGAAGAACCAGGGCAGCUGGGGCACUGGGGACCACAUCCACACGUGCCUGGUGAACUCUGAGGGAGAGUAUCCCCCUUCUGAGGCUUCUUUGGAUGGCGCCCUUCUUCCUCUCCCUGCUAGGAAGUGGCUGUGCGGAGUCUGACCCAGCUGACGACCGAGCUGCAGGAGAACGGGGAGGAGGAGGAGGAGGAGGAGGCCGAGUUCGGGGAGGAAGAUCUCUUCCACCAGCAGGGGGACCCCAGGACCACCUCCAGAGGAUGCGCCCUCAUGUGAAAAGAAGGAACCCUUCGUCUUCCCCCUCCUUCCCCCCCUUUUUUUUUCUUUUGCCUGCAUUUCUGGGAAACUAUUUUUCUAAGUCUUCUAUGGCUUAUUUUUUACUUUGAGCGGAACUGAGUUUUAAAAAGCAGGAAGUGGGUCUGCCCGGGUUGCCUCUUGUGCUCUUGCAGCUGCUUUUUAGCCCCGAGCAGAAGGGGUGGGGAGGGAGGCACGGCGUUUCCUGUGGCAGCUGCAGGGAUGAAGAGCUUGAAGGGGCGGGGGGGGGGGGCGCUGGAUUCCACCUUGGAAGAAGCAGGCGAUUCCAAACUCUGGGCUUGUGUCCAGAGCCUUUUGCCUCCGUUCAAACAAAGCACAGAAGGGGAUACCACAACCCUGGGACAACCCGGGAGCCCGGCUGGUCUCUGUGGCCUGGGUGGGGUGGGGUGCUUGCAUGGCCUCUGCCUGAACAUCUCCAACCAGCUUCCUGUUGAGAAUCCCUCUUGUGACAGGAUGGGCCAGCAUUCGGGAGCCAUGGCAGGAGGACGGGACACAGGUGAGCAGGUGAUCACCACCACCACCACCACCCCUUCCCCUCUAAGGAGGGAUGGGCAGCAAAGGAGCGGUUGGAGACGGGACACAUAAGGUUGAAUCCAGAGGAGAUCCGGCAUAAAAAACGCUGGCCUCUGCCACGAGCUGAGGGCAGCACCAAAAUCAAGCCCAAAAUGACUUGAUUUUUCUUAGGUGUUGUGAAGAAAAGAAUCCUUACGGAACCAGUUAUUUCCUGACAGAUCAUAGAAAUACCGUUGAAAUGCGAUCUGGCCAACUUUUUGUAUGAGAGGUUGGAUUCUAAAGUGGUUUUGAGUUGCCAGAGGCCGUUUCAGCUGGGAUUCCUGGCCCUUGGGGUGAACACAUCCCAAUUUUAGUCAGCUCUCAUGGUCCAAAAAUUACAUUUGUGUUUAGCGCUGAUCUUCCUCUUUGAACACUAGCCUUGAAACACACUGCCUUGGUUCUUCAUUUUAUGUAUUUUUUUAAAAAUGACAAAAUUUUAAUGAAAAAAAAGUCUUGAAUUUCAGUGAGCUACAUUCCCAAGAGUUGGUUGCUAGUCCAUCACCUUCGAUGGCAACAUCGAAGGGCUGGACUGCCCUCUGUCACCUUGGCCACUCUGUCUCACUUGCUCUGAAAUUGAAAAGAGCUUGGAAGGGACUGGAGACUGUCCAAAAUUGGGAAGACCCCCAAAUUCAUAGAGUGCAAAGGGACGUCUAAUCCAAGUGAUGUUUCUGGGACGUGAUAUCAAAGAGAACAAAGGAAAAAAUUGAUGUCUGAGACGGUGCUUAGCUGUAGCAAGAUUGUGACUAGGAAAUCAAAACAAAUAAUGUUUAAGCAGCAAACAUUACAGAGAUGUUUCAAUACUACAUAAUGUGUUAAUAACCAGUGUGAAUUAAUGUAAAAGUAUUUUAGAUGUAGAAACUCUGAGCCACUUUCUGUGGAGCUGCUAGUGUUACAGCUCAGAAAAGGGGGCUUGACGUGGGAUAAGGUUACAUAAAUUCUUAUCUAUUCCACACACACAAACACACAAAUCCUCCCGGUCAGUUUGCAGGAGGGAGGCUGGAUGGACCACAGCCAUGCUUCCUGUGUGAUUCAGGAUUGGGGGGAGGGGGUCUGUCGGAGGAGUCCAUCCUCAUAGAGCCUUGUCUGUGGACCUUCUGCCUCCCAGCGCAUCAGCUGCAACAUACACACACACACCCCACCCGAACCCUUCUUGGGGCUGGCCUUCCCUUUAACGGCCUCCAACAUGGAGAGAUGGAGAGGCUGAGCCGGAGGUCACCCAUUGACCUGUCCAUGGGGCAGGAAGUGGGGGCAGAGGGGCACAGUUUCAAAGGCACCCUCCAAUAGAUCUGCCUGCCUUUCUUCACCCACACACCCCUUCCCCACAGUUUGUGGGGCUAACAGUGAAGACACAGAGGUGCAGAUUCUUUGAGAGCCAUAUUUGGACUGCCUUGAUCUUUCUCUGGGUUUUUUGCACUGCUCCCUGGAAGUGCUGGGGGUGGGGGAGAGGAACCAGGGUUAGCUAGGAGAUCCAUUUAGCACCUGACCAGCAUUUGGUUGUGACGUCGUGUGGUUGGUUUGCUCUGGAAAUACUUGCUUUAUACUUCAUACAAAAUGUGACUUAAAAUUUAUUUUAAACCCAUGUUUACACAUAGUUAUUGAUAAAUCUUAGCACCCCUUUGAAAUACACUGGAUAUUGGGGGGGGCUCUUUGGACCCCCUCAGUUUCAUCCCUGACAGCCGCAGCUUUCCUCAAAAAAAAUCGGCCAGCCAGCCUGGACCCCACGAACUGGACUUGAGAAAGGCCCAACUCCUCUCCAGCCUUUUCCCUUCUCUCCACUGCCCUGAACACAUGCACUGGGGGGAGCACCUUUGUGGGGAGGAGUGCUGGGAGUGCUUGGCCAGCUCGGCAGGAUCACACUACAUUUUGCAAGCAAUACACUUUCUGAAAGCCCUUGUGGCGAGGCAAGCAUUGACUUGAUUCCUAACCCAUUUCUUUUUUAGAAGUCUAUUUUUGUAGCAGUGUGAUUUGUUUUGUUUUAUUUUGUUUACUGGGGAGUUUUGUUUCCCAAAAUGGGAACGGCUGAAAGGAUCUGCUUGUGGUGGGAGGGCACUUAACGCUGGCCAGUGCAUCAUGUUUUCAGGGGCAAACUGACCCCUUGUGUUUUUGUGUUCUUAUGGAUAUGCAUGCUUCAUGUCUUGUCUUUUUCAGCAAUCUAUAAUACAUUUUUUGGACUGGAAACAUUUUGUACAACACAAAUAAAUGUUUUGCAUUUUUAUCU